This 328-nucleotide ribosomal RNA is filed under the name uncultured eukaryote. Its description in RNAcentral is "partial 18S ribosomal RNA". It matches the Rfam family "Eukaryotic small subunit ribosomal RNA", at positions 1470 to 1796 of the family's 1831-position model. The record is from RNAcentral.
CCCUUAGAUGUUCUGGGCCGCACGCGCGCUACACUGACUACUUCAACGAGUUGUUUCCUUGAUCGAAAGGUCUGGGUAAUCUUUGAAAGGUAGUCGUGAUGGGGAUAGAUCCUUGCAAUUUUUGAUCUUCAACGAGGAAUUCCUAGUAAACGCAAGUCAUCAGCUUGCAUUGAUCACGUCCCUGCCCUUUGUACACACCGCCCGUCGCACCUACCGAUUGAAUGGUCCGGUGAAUCUUUAGGACUGUGGCUGAGGCCUUGCCUUGUGCGGGUCUGGCCGUGGGAAUUUAGUUAAACCUUACCAUUUAGAGGAAGGUGAAGUCGUAACA